RNAcentral lists this transfer RNA (72 nucleotides) under Camelus bactrianus (Bactrian camel). The record is from Rfam by way of RNAcentral. Lineage: Eukaryota; Metazoa; Chordata; Mammalia; Artiodactyla; Camelidae. RNAcentral also lists the same sequence under 1 other name.
GGGAGUAGCUCAGUGGUAAAGCGCAUGCUUAGCAUGCAUGAGGUCCUGCCUUCAUUAAAGGCAGUACUUCCA